GAGUAAUGCGUUGGUGACCUGCCUUGUAGUGGGGACAACGCUGGAAACGGUGGCUAAUACCCCAGAUGCCAUUGUGUUUGGAAAACAAUGUCUAAAGCUACGGUGCUACAAGAGGGGCCAACGUCCCAUCAGCUAGUUGGUGAGGUAACGGCUCACCAAGGCAAAGACGGGUAGGGGCGUGAGAGCGUGACCCCCACACUGGUACUGACACACGGACCAGAUACCUACGGGUAGCAGCAGCAAGGAAUAUUGCGCAAUGGACGAAAGUCUGACGCAGCAACGCCGCGUGGAGGAUGAAGGCCUUCGGGUUGUAAACUCCUUUUCUGAGGGAAUAGAAAGGAAGGUACCUCAGGAAUAAGCUCCGGCUAACUACGUG
Molecule: ribosomal RNA, 376 nt
Filed under: uncultured bacterium
Lineage: Bacteria
Description: bacterial SSU rRNA
Rfam family: Bacterial small subunit ribosomal RNA
Source: RNAcentral